UACAUGGGGUGCAAACGUUGCUCGGAAUUAUUGGGCGUAAAGCGCGCGUAGGCGGUUACUUAAGUCGGAUGUGAAAGCCCUCGGCUUAACUGAGGAAGUGCACCCGAAACUGAGUAGCUAGAGUACGAAAGAGGGUCGCGGAAUUCCCGGUGUAGAGGUGAAAUUCGUAGAUAUCGGGAGGAACACCGGUGGCGAAGGCGGCUCUCUGGACCUGUCCUGACGCUCAGGCGCGAAAGCUAGGGGAGCGAACAGG
RNAcentral lists this ribosomal RNA (253 nucleotides) under uncultured bacterium. Its description in RNAcentral is "partial 16S ribosomal RNA". It matches the Rfam family "Bacterial small subunit ribosomal RNA", at positions 524 to 776 of the family's 1533-position model. The record is from RNAcentral.